RNAcentral lists this long non-coding RNA (204 nucleotides) under Phoenix dactylifera (date palm). RNAcentral's name for it is "long non-coding RNA (PDAC_LNC016179)". Lineage: Eukaryota; Viridiplantae; Streptophyta; Magnoliopsida; Arecales; Arecaceae. The record is from RNAcentral.
UGAGAGAGACAUGAAUAAGUGAUUCAGUUUGAUAUUGAUCCAUACUCAUGCACUUAUUCAGGAUGUAGUAUGACUGAGGGAUUGAAUUGCACGGUAACUUGCCACUGAAGGGUAUGUUUGGAUUUGUCCAGUACAUUCCUCAUCUUCCGGGUAGACAUGAUACGUUGCUAGACGUCAAUCACGUCUUGUGGGUUGAUCGGAUCA